GCCCAGGCGGCGAGCGGCGGGCGAGCGCCCGGAGGUGGUGGCCGAGGCCCAGGCGGCGGCCCGGGAGCGGCGGGAGCAGGCCCGGCCCGGCCCUCGCGCGGCCGCCCGGCAGCAGCAUGCGCGUCCGCCGGGGACUGCGGCUGCCGCGCCGCUCGCUGCUCGCCGCGCUCUUCUUCUUCUCGCUGUCGUCCUCGCUGCUCUACUUCGUCUAUGUGGCGCCCGGCAUAGUGAACACCUACCUCUUCAUGAUGCAAGCUCAAGGCAUUCUGAUCCGGGACAACAUGAGAACUAUAGGCGCUCAGGUUUAUGAACAGGUGGUUCGGAGCGCUUAUGCCAAGAGGAAUAGCAGCGUAAAUGACUCAGAUUAUCCUCUUGACUUGAAUCACAAUGAAACCUUCCUACAAACCACAACUUUUCUUCCUGAAGACUUCACCUACUUUGCAAACCAUACCUGCCCUGAAAGGCUCCCUUCCAUGAAGGGCCCAAUAGACAUAAACAUGAGUGAAAUCGGAAUGGACGACAUUCAUGAACUCUUCUCCAAAGACCCAGCCAUCAAGCUUGGAGGUCACUGGAGGCCUUCUGAUUGCAUGCCCAGAUGGAAGGUGGCGAUCCUUAUCCCUUUCCGGAACCGCCACGAGCACCUUCCAGUCCUACUCCGACACCUGAUUCCCAUGCUUCAGCGCCAGCGCCUGCGGUUUGCAUUUUAUGUGGUUGAGCAAGUUGGUACCCAACCCUUUAACCGAGCCAUGCUCUUCAAUGUUGGUUUUCGAGAAGCAAUGAAGGAUUUGGAUUGGGACUGUCUGAUUUUUCAUGAUGUGGAUCAUAUACCGGAAAGCGAUCGCAACUAUUAUGGAUGUGGACAGAUGCCGAGGCACUUUGCAACCAAAUUGGAUAAGUAUAUGUAUCUGCUUCCUUACACUGAGUUCUUUGGCGGAGUGAGUGGCUUGACAGUGGAACAGUUUCGGAAAAUCAACGGCUUUCCUAAUGCUUUCUGGGGUUGGGGUGGAGAAGAUGACGACCUCUGGAACAGAGUACAGAAUGCAGGCUAUUCUGUGAGUCGGCCAGAAGGUGACACAGGGAAGUACAAGUCCAUUCCUCAUCAUCAUCGAGGAGAAGUCCAGUUUCUUGGAAGGUAUGCUCUGCUGAGGAAGUCGAAAGAAAGGCAAGGGCUGGACGGCCUCAACAACUUGAACUACUUUGCAAACAUCACAUAUGAUGCCUUGUACAAAAACAUAACUGUCAACUUAACACCCGAGCUGGCUCAGGUGAACGAGUACUGAGUUGAGAGGAUGUACGUUUACUUUACCCGCUGCCACCAAGAAAGCAGCCUGAUGAGAUGUUUUUGGAGUCUACCCAGGAAGAGGAGAGAAAUACAGCAUCUAAUGAAGGAUCACAGGGUUCAAGGACAAAAUGUGAGAGAACACACACAAAAUGCCUUCUCUGUGUUGACCCGCUGUGAUGGGAUCAAGGCAGCUUGGGGACUUCCUUCAUCAGGACUGGUUUUCUUCUUCUCUCAAGACAGAUGUCUGUCCUGCUGCUGCUCCCCCUCCUGUCUCCUGCCCUGACCCCUCUCCUGUCUUAGCCACAAUCGCCAGUGUCGACCUGCCAUGGUGUCCCGUGAAACCCGUUCCUACCAGUGACCUUUGGAGCUUCUUGGCCUUCAGUGCAAAGAGGCAGACCCACCCCAGGGCAGCUGCAUUUUAGGAAGAGCAAGUGAAAUGCCCCACACCAUUCUUCUACAUCCCUGACGCUGCCACCUCAGAGCACCCAGUCUGAAAGAGCCAACUGUCCCAGUCAUCCUCCCCAGAGUGGAGCCCUCUUUCCUACCUGACAACUUCACCAAGCCUCACACCAUUGUUCUGGAAAUCAAAUCACAGCCCCUGUAGGUCACAGGUCCGUAAUCAAAGGUUGCUGAGGGGGCUGGUGGCAAAGAAGAAAGGUUUGCCUUGGG
This is an RNA transcript of Choloepus didactylus (southern two-toed sloth), 1951 nucleotides long. It is a transcript of the gene named beta-1,4-galactosyltransferase 5, with no coding region annotated. The transcript is spliced from 10 exons. The record is from RefSeq and is a predicted model, not a curated record. NCBI's taxonomy places the organism in Eukaryota, Metazoa, Chordata, Mammalia, Pilosa, Megalonychidae.